This is a long non-coding RNA of Chinchilla lanigera (long-tailed chinchilla), 543 nucleotides long. RefSeq lists it as uncharacterized. The record is from RefSeq and is a predicted model, not a curated record. NCBI's taxonomy places the organism in Eukaryota, Metazoa, Chordata, Mammalia, Rodentia, Chinchillidae. The transcript has 3 exons.
UCAGAGAAAUGUUUGAUUUCUGAAUUGUUGGACGCACAUUUGUACGAGGAUUCCAUGGUUCAGCUACCAAAGAGACAAACACUCCUCCAGCCAAGCGCUUUCUCAAUGCACUUCGGCGGAAUUCUGACUCAGGGUGCACACCCUGAGUGAUCUGAUUCUCACUGCAAGAAUUUGCAAGACAAUCAAGAGAUACCAGGGCUGGCUGCGCUUGACUCUGAAAAGAAGACUCAGAACUGAGGAAAAAGAAAUGAAAGAAGCAGGCAUGGGAGAAAGUGAUGCUACUCAGACACGUGGUGUGGAAUGGAGAAGACAGAAAUGGAAGAAGAUGUGGCCUCUCUACUGCUAAUGACAGAUGGAAGCAGUUUUGCUCCUGUGUCUAAGCCCAGUGGAAUGUUCUGAUCAUCUCCAGAGUACGUGUGCCUUCUACGAUAUCAGCCCGGACAAAUUUCCCCACUGCUGUCACACUUGUUCAAUUUCAGUUUCCUGAGUAUCAAAGAAAUUUGAAAAUCCACAAAUAUAUAUAUUUUUACAAGAUGUAAGAAA